AAUGCAAAUAAGCGCAAGGACCUUCUUGCAAGGAAAGGGAUAUUGGUAAUUAUGAUACUGUCCGUAGCUACAGCAGUUUCCUCUCGUUCUUUUCUCAUACUGCUUGGUGAGGAGGCAGAGGAGAUUAUCACAAAAUGGGCAACUUGAAAUGUUUAUCUAUAGUUCUAGUACUCUCCCAGAUGAUCCUCCAAGGGAAAAGGAGCUUGACAGAUCUGGAAGUCAUCCAGAUUUACCUUUCUUCGAUAUAGACACAAUAGUUGAAGCAACUAGCAAUUUUUCCAACAAACUUGGAGAAGGUGGUUUUGGCUCAGUGUCUAAGGUAUUAUCCCGUGAACAGUAAAAUUGUCAACUCCUUCAUAAAAUUUAAUUUGAAUAUUUGGCAAGUCACACUAUUAGUACUGUUGUGUGAUAUAUGCGGCCAUGGCAGUACGUCUGUGAAAUAAGUCUAGAAAUGUACUUUCAGGGUCAACUAUCAAAUGGACAAGAAAUAGCAGUGAAAAGAUUAUCUAAACAGUCAGGACAGGGAAUAAAGGAAUUCAGGAAUGAAGUACAAUUGAUAUCAAAGCUCCAGUAUAGAAACUUUGUCUGGCUUUUUGGUUGUUGCAUUCAUAAAGAAGAUAAAAUGCUAAUCUAUGAACAUUUACCGAACAAAAGCUUGGACUACUUCAUCUUUGAUAAGUCAAGGAAGCAACUAUUGGACUGGAGAAAGCAUUUUGAAAUUAUUUUUGGGAUAGCUCGAGGAGUUUUAUAUCUACAUCAAGAUUCAAGAUUAAAAAUAAUCCAUAGGGACUUGAAAGCAAGCAAUAUUCUAUUAGAUGCUUCAAAAGAGCCAAAAAUUUCAGACUUUGGGUUGGCUAAAUUGUUCAAGGAACAUCAAAUUGAAGCCAUUACAAAGCAAGUGGUUGGAACAUAGUAAGUUACUUAACUCCAACACCAUCUCCCUGCUUGGAAACAUUAAAAGGUCACAAACCACCAAUAAAUUGUUUCUUUUUAUCUACUUGUAGUGGCUAUAUGUCUUCAGAAUAUGCAAUGGAUGGUCUAUAUUCUGUAAAAUCUGAUGUCUUCAGCUAUGGUGUCUUAAUACUAGAGAUCAUAAGUGGCAAGAAAAACACUGAGUAUGACAAAGAAAGC
Molecule: long non-coding RNA, 1131 nt
Organism: Hevea brasiliensis (rubber tree)
Lineage: Eukaryota; Viridiplantae; Streptophyta; Magnoliopsida; Malpighiales; Euphorbiaceae
Exons: 3
Source: RefSeq, a predicted model, not a curated record